Long non-coding RNA from Passer domesticus (house sparrow), 7415 nucleotides. RefSeq lists it as uncharacterized. The record is from RefSeq and is a predicted model, not a curated record. The transcript is spliced from 2 exons. Lineage: Eukaryota; Metazoa; Chordata; Aves; Passeriformes; Passeridae.
UUGGAGCUCAACAGCAGACAGCACUCUUGUCUCCCCAGCUGGUUUUGUUUAUCAAAAAGUCCUCCCCUUGAUAGUUUAGGAAUGACUGUGAAUCCCAAAGUCAUUUGCCCUGUCAUUUGUUUUUUGGACUGAAACAGGUAUUUAAUCUGGUAUAAAAUAGACAGACUCAGUUGCUCCCAGUUGCUUACUAGUGUAAAUUCUCCAUGUCUCACUGAAGUCCAGGGCUUGAUUUUUCCUGCAAUUACAACAGUGUGAUUUUACUGAUGCAAGUGGAGAGCUGUAUCCGGAUCACCAGUAGACCUUCAACUGGAAAAGGGUUUCACACUGGUCUAAAUGAAAUGCAGAGCCAGAUUAACACCACUGACAACAGCUAGGUUAUACAUGUAUAAUGACAUCCCCAUCAGUCACUCUGAUCUACACCCUAUACAUAACAAUACAUCUGCCAUUGUAUUUCAGUAAUGUAUUAUUAAAAUACUUUCUAUAGUAUAUAAAGCAAGAAUGAAAAUAGUAUGAUGUGCAAGGCAAUAAAACUUAAAGGCUUUAAUUAGAUGAAUAUUAUCAGGAACAGUCUUGAUCUAGAAAAUUAUGGAAAGAUAAUUUUUUUUUUCCUCAGAGCUUUAAGCCCUCCGUCUUACUCCUCUUUUGUCAACAGCAGUGAGUGAACACCCAGAAGUAGGUCAGGAUUGCUGAUAUCCAAGGAUACCCUGUUUCUGUGGUUACCUUAGCGCUCCCUCCCUGGAACCCAAGCUCAGCCCGCGGCGUCACCGCACACGGGCGCUGCAGCCCCCGCUGCAGAGCUGCUGCUGCUGCUGCUGCUGCUGCUGCUGAGGCUGCUGAGGCUGCUGCUGCUGCUGGGGCUGCUGGGGCUGCUGCUGGGGCUGCUGACGCUGCGGCUGCUGCUGCUGGGGCUGCUGGGGCUGCUGCUGCUGGGGCUGGGGCUGGGGCUGCUGCUGCUGGGGCUGCUGCUGCUGCUGGGGCUGCUGGGGCUGCUGCUGCUGCUGGGGCUGGGGCUGGGGCUGCUGCUGGGGCUGCUGCCGCUGCCCAGGCGCCCCCGGCUCCACCGGGCGGGCACACAGCUGCAGUUGCAGCCGCAGCGGAGCAAGGAGCUGUGAGCUGCAGGGUGCCCAGGCCAGGCCGUGCCGUGUCUGCCUGUGGGCUGGCUGUGCUCCGCUCUGCCCCGGCUGAGGGACAGGAGGCAGUGCAAGGGCUGCCCGAGACCGGCACCUGGGAUCCGUGGCCCAGCUGCAGCUGGUGGGGUGCUGGGUGGGAAUAGGCACAGUGGCAAGUACGAGGACACCCCAUCACCACACAACACCAGCCAGAGCCAAGCAGAGAAAUUAAGCGUGCUUCUUCUGUGUCACUGCAGCCCUGAUGCCCUCACGCAUGGCUGACUGAAGGGGAGGUUUAUCUUCCAGGCAUUCCAGAUAGGAUGACAUAAAAUAGACUGGGGCUGUGGACGUGGAAACAGAGAGGCAAAGCUUAAGGCACAAACACAAAGCAAAUCAAACUGUGGCAGCUGUGUACAAAAUGGGCCAGCUCUGCGUUUGAAGGUGUGAGAAAGGAGCGAGCGGGCUGUGCUCAGAGAGACAGCCUUGUGAGAAGUGACAGCUUUAGUCCUGGUUCAUCAUGGGGACUCAUGGACUGGUAGAAGUAAAACAAGCAGCCUGGCAACUGUGGCUCAUUUUCAGCAGUUUUAUGAAGUACUAUGUCUAUUAAACUUGCUGGCUCUAAACUUGGGACAUAUUUGCUGUUGACACCAAGCUUCAUGCCAGCCAGCUCCCCUGUCAGACUAUUCAGGGAGCACCCUCAGCAAUGGCAGACACGCUGGACCAAGCAAACAUGUUCGCAGGGUCUGGAUUAGAGCUCAUGCUGGUGCAUAGCUGCACUGCCCAGCAGCAGAUGUUUUAGGACCAUAUGACUUGAAGCAACUGAAUUACUGAAUCCAGCCCUGAUUGCAGACUUCAUGUAAUACUUGUAUAAUCCAGAAGGGUCCAGACAGCAUCUACUCUACACCAAGUGGUUCCCAGCACUAUAGCAGUACUUGUCAAGAGCUGUGUGUCAGUUUUAACCAUUUUAGGUACCUGCUGAGUGCCAGAUUUAAGGAACAUUCCACACUGACAAUUUAACACUUCUCUUCUGCCCAAUUUUCCCUCAACUCAUAUAACCUUUGUAUUUGCCUUCCUGUUGUUGUCAGCUCAAAAGAAUAUCCUCAGAAGUUAGUCUUGAUUGAAACUGAGGCUGUAAGCAUUUUAAAUUUUAAUUACAGUUAUUCACCGUGUGAAUGGGAGGAUCUCCAGGAUUUGAGCUAACUGCUCUGCAAAUGUGCAGAGAUCCAUCAGCUUUCUACCUGUGAACUGAUAACAAAUCCUGUAAUCACAUAAAGUUGGUGGAAUACAAAGCUUUUAGCUCUGGUGGAUGCAUAAGCUGCUCAUGGAAUUCUAGGCAACAAAACACCACCAAGUUAUGACACAAACCAUCAACUCGCACCCAAUACCAUCAGCAGCAAAUCAGAAAGAUUUUUGACUGAACCUUUAUGAAAGGAGUUUAAUCAUCAUCUGACAAACAGAGAGGUAAAUUAGAAUUUCAUUCAGAAAUAAUUACUUCUGUUAAAAAGAGAAUUAUUUUUAGUUUCUCUUUUAAAUUUUUCUGGUCAACUGCAGCUUACAACUAUUGUUUCUUAUUCUGCUUUUCUCCACUAAAUUAAAGCAUUCUUUAGUACCUGGUAUUUUCUCACUGUGAAGUUGCACACACCGUAAUCAGAACAUUUCUCAAUUUUCUUUUUGAUAAGCACAAUGGAUUAAGUAUUCCAAGUUUUUUUAAUAGAAAGCAUUAUAUCAAAGUAUAAUCCUAUUUUCUCAAAAUCGUUUUGGAACUCUUUUCUGCAACUUCAUAAUUUUUACAAUAUUCUGUUGAAAAUGUGGCCACCUGAGCCUUAUCCAGCAACCCACUUGAAGUAUCAUCAAUGCUAUUUGCAAAGGAAAAAUAUGCACUUUCUUGUUUUUCUCCCUACUCUCAUCCAAGAAUCACAUUCAGACCUCCUUUUAUAUUAAGGUCUGUUAUCUAAUGAGUUGCCAAGACAAUUCUUUAUGGAGUUUUAUCUAUAAAUUGUCCAGAUACACUGAUUUAAAUUGAUAGCUAAAUGACAUACACCAUUUGGCAUCUCCAGCUCCUGAAAGUCCAGUAGUCAUUUCAAGGGCUCAUUUUUCCAUCCGUAUGCCCAUAACAUACAGAAAUGCAAUUGUACAUGCCUGUCUGUCUGUCCUCUCUCAGGUCAUCCAGUCCAUUUUCUGUACGGUGCCCCAGAACAUUCCGUGUCUCUGUUUUCCAAAUCUGCACAUACAAUCUGUACUGCUAAUGCAGCUUUUCAGUUUGCAUGGUUCUGGCAUUACACACAGCCUCUGUGAUUCAGCCAAGAUUUCCAGAGAGGAUGCUAUAGGCUGCCCAUGCACAGAGCGUGGGGUAAUCCUCUGAGCCCAGGAGGACUUGGUGAGCAGGGAAGGAGGCACCCUUCACACAGAGAAACACUGUGAGGAAACUGGACUGAGGGCAAAAAUGUGUAGCAGCAGCAGCAGAAAAAAUGGGCAGGGGACAGGCAGACAGGGAGGAUUUGCUGUGCUGGUUGCCUUUUUGCAUAAACUUGUAUUUUUUCCCCACCAUCAACCUCUGUUCUUCAGCUUGUCACUUACUGUAUUACCUUUUCCUCCACCCUACUUUCCCCUACAAUGUCCUUUCUCCCGCUGCCUUUUAUUCCCAGUUGACUCAUUCUGACUUAGAUUCACCCUCCCCUGCCAAAGCUCUUCAUGGAAACAGUAUUCCUCCUGCUGCUUUCACAGCCCUCUUUUGGGUCCUAUGUGUCACCCCCAUGUCCCUAGUCCUCCUCCUCCAGGGGAUUAGAAUCUUUCUGGGGCAAGGACUACUUGGAGCUGUGUUCACCCAGUCCCUUGAGCAACUGGGCUCCUGUGCUUGCUAAUUUUAUUUUAGCUGCUCUCCUAAUAAAAGUGACUAAUCACAACAGCACUGUGAUGUCUAGUAGGAGAGACUGAUGAAAUAAUUGUGUAGUGGGGAUGAAGCAGCCAGGCUGAUGGUGAAGCAGAGCAGGCAUUAGCUGUACCAGCCUUACAUAACAUUGCAGGCUGAGUGAGAAGCACCCAGAAGGAACUCACUUAUCUCACCCCUUCCUCCUCCUUUAUUAUGAAAAAAGGAAAAAAAAGAAAGGAAUAAAAGGAACAAAACAGUUAUAUUUCCUUUACUGCUGCCCCAUGCCUGGGUGCAGGUCCCUGGGCUGGCAGUGGGGCAGCAGGGACAGCUGCCACUCUGUGCUGGCUCAGGACUCACUCCAGCUCUGAUCCCACUCGGUGUGCUGGGCACAGAGUCAGGUGUCACUGUUAAAAAAUGGUUCUCUGCCUUCUGAUUCAUGAUGGCUUUUUUUUUUUCCAUCUUGCAAUGGAUGUGAAAUAUAAUUUGAGUUUCAAUAUGUAGCUGGGAUGGUUUUCUUCUCUUGUUAAUUAGUUAUUACCCUUGCCUGCACCGAUGUUUUUAUUACUUUAGGUGGCUGAUAUCUGCUAACCACCUUUCUGAAAGAUUACAAAAGUCCCAUGGAAAUGAGAGUGGGGAGGUGGACGGACGGAUGGACGGAUGAGAGAUGCCUCUAUUACAAGGAACGAGCACAGAAAGCUUGGAUUAGGGUGAACAGCUGGUGCGGAUUCAAUAAUCAACUGCUCUGAAAGAAAAGCCUGUUUUUUCUCAUCUCAUGGUAUUAGAGAACAGGAUACCAGAGCUGCCAACCUUACAAUUGAAAUCUGCCCACACAGAAUAGCAAAUUCCCCUUGGCUUGCAUUUAAAUGCUCCUGGCUCAAUUAUAACUCCAUACAGUCUUUAAUACAUACAUGUGGUCUGCAUAUUAUCCUGCAAACAGAGCACUGCACUGCUUCUCUCAGCAUGUCUCUGCCUUCAUUUCAACUCCAAAGGGAGGGACAGGGCAGGGGGAGAGAAAGGAGGACAGAGAGCUUAUCGAGUUUACAGCUGCUGCUGAGAAUAUUGGUUUGAUUUUCACUGCUGCUCGGGAUUUAUUUCCACAGCAGGCAGCAGGUUGGGACAGUGAGUGCUGGUUUAGCAGACUUAGGAGGUCAUUCUGGUCACUCUUCAGGACAGCCCUGUGGCAGUAGCACUGCCCUCCAAGGAGCCAGCUUGUGCUGGGAGCCAUCCUGGUGAGCCGUGGUGUGAGGAAGGGCUGGGCACUUCCAGCUCUCAUUAUCCAGAGAGGAGCAGCAGAGCUGGGGCAGAAGUCUCCGUAUGAAAAAUGAGGAGGCUUGUUGGCUGUUGAUUUUCCCAGGUACUUUGUGAUGCUAAACAUGGCAGGGUUACCAAGACUUUCUCUGACCCUAUUGGCAGCAGCAGUAGCUACAAUACAAUCUUCCUUCUCUUCAUCCCAAGCCAGCAGGCAGCCCUGGGAGACCAACACAGAGCCCCUGGCUUUGUUUCCACAGCACCUGAGCCCUCUCCUCAAGCUGCACACCUGCCCAGGUGCUGGGGCUUCAUUGUGAUCUAGAGAGCACACAGCCACCUGAUCUUGAUGGUGACAAAUGGGGGCAGCAAACAGUUGCCAGGUGGGGCCAUUUUUCUCUUCAUUCUGUCAGAUAUGAAGAAGAAGUUAACAGCUCAAUACAUCACACUUGAUCCCAUCAGCCAGUCUCUUGUCUUUUCAGAAAACUGGAAGAAAUAUAUUUGUUUUAAUACCCUCUUUAUUUUAAAAGAUCAGGAUAAAAGCAGUGACCAGAACUCUUGUUAUCACAUAGUUUCAAUCCGUAACAGGAUACUGAAUAUUCAAGGGGAGAGAACCCAAAAGCCUGGGCUGCAGGUCUGCAGCUGACCCUAUUAAUAGCCACAUCAAAUUCUUGUUCAUUCAGUGGCCUUUUUUAAAGGGAAAACACAGCUCAGCCCUGCUGCCCCAAAUGCAAGGAGAAAACUGGAAGGGGCUGCAGGAAAAUGUGUCAGCCUGGGUCCCUCCUGUGCUUCUUGCAGAAAGGAAAGGAAGAUAUUAAUGCAGAUGAUUUUGUUACAUAAAUACAUGUUGUAUCAGGGCCAUUUUUAGCGUUUGUGGGGGUGUGAAGAACUUCUUCAAGCUGCGUAUCUAUUUCAUAGGAUUCAGCUGAACUGAGGAAAAGGACAGAGAGUUUUAAGGUAAACUAUCAAGAUACAUUUAUUUAAGCCCACACAAUUCUGUACAGAGCUCCACAUGACAGAAACAAUAUUUCACUAGCAUGUCUCUGGCCUCAGUAGUGCUUUUUAAUGCUUUGUAGCUCAAAGACCUCUUAAUAUAAUUGGAUAAAAUUAAGGAAAAAAUUGUAAUCAAAUUUCAAAUAUUGUGUCUGCCAUUUGUCUUAGGAGAGUUUCAGUUUCUUUGAAUUCCAAAGGGCUGCAACACUUAAUUAAAAUGAAAUUUUAAAAUCCAGAAAUCUAAUUUUUAAUUUAAUCUCCAAGUAAUUUAAACUUCAAACAGAUAAUUUUCUUGUCAGGAAGAAGCCCCUUUUUGAGCAAAAAAUAAAAUCUGGGGGUAAUUUCAUGAAUCAAGUUCAUAAAAUGCAGAACUCUUCUUGAUUUCUGAGCAGUUUUCUAUUAUCUUUUCCACCUCAGCUCCAUGUCCCAUUCAUCCUUGAGAGAUGCAUGGGGCUCACUUCCCCCUUUCUGAUGUGUUCAUCCCUACAGAAGGCAGAGAGUGAAAUACAGCCCCCAGCAGAGCUGUGGGAACAUCUCACACCAGCCUAGAAAUGGGCCCAGGUUUAGCGGUGGGUGUAGGCUCAGAGUGGCUGGGGCUGGCAUGGGGAAAACCAGAUUUUUUUCCUCCUUCCACACUGGAAGUGUCCAGUUAUCAAAGCAGCUCCUCUGAGGGGCUUCGGCUGCAAAUGUGUCCAAAAAUAAUUUUCUCAUGUUAUCUCAGUGGCCAUCUGAGAACCUUUUCCUUCUGGAAUGCAGUUUUAGGGGACUGUGUUUUACUUACAGGAAGGCAUUGCCAAAGGGAAAUUUUCAUGGGAUUAAUUAAUGCUACAUUUUUUGUUUGUCAUGCUCCAAAAGGAUCCGGUUGUUUUUAAAGGAAUUUUUCUGUUAUAUUUUUUCUUUCAAUUUUUUAUAAAAAGGACACCAAAAGCUAACAUUUAUAAAUCAUCUGAGCUCGGUAGUCUGGUUGAUUUCCACACAGUGCCUACACUUUGUGUUUCUCAGAGCUCUGCCAUCCACAAGGCAGAUCCCAGACUGGGCACAGUUAGCUACAAGGUGCUCAAAAAGAGGAGAAGGUUAAGGAGGAGAAAGGUCACCUAAAUAACUGUAGUUUACUAUAUUGCCCAUCCACGACAGCCUUGAUCCAGAGAAUUUUAAACACAUGCUAAAGAAUGUCAGUCUUAUUUAAUAAAAUCAUAAGA